This 492-nucleotide ribosomal RNA is filed under the name uncultured bacterium. RNAcentral describes it as "partial 16S ribosomal RNA". It matches the Rfam family "Bacterial small subunit ribosomal RNA", at positions 29 to 507 of the family's 1533-position model. The record is from RNAcentral.
AGUGAACGCUGGCGGUAGGCCUAACACAUGCAAGUCGAACGGCAGCACAGUAAGAGCUUGCUCUUACCGGUGGCGAGUGGCGGACGGGUGAGGAAUACAUCGGAAUCUACUUUUUCGGGGGGGAUAACGUAGGGAAACUUACGCUAACACCGCAUAUGACCUACGGGUGAAAUCAGUGGAUCAUGGGACCUUUCCCGAUUGAUUGAGCCGAUGUCGGAUUAGCUAGUUGGGGGGGUAAAGGCCCACCAAGGCGACGAUGCGUAGCUGGUCUGAGAGGAUGAUCGGCCACACUGGAACUGAGACACGGUCCAGACUCCUACGGGAGGCAGCAGUGGGGAAUAUUGGGCAAUGGGCGCAAGCCUGAUCCAGCCAUACCGCGUGAGUGAAGAAGGCCUUCGGGUUGUAAAACCCUUUUGUUGGGAAAGAAAAGCAGCAGAUUAAUACCCCGCUGUUCUGACGGUACCCAAAGAGUAAGCACCGGCUAACUACGUG